Molecule: non-coding RNA, 133 nt
Organism: Triticum aestivum (bread wheat)
Lineage: Eukaryota; Viridiplantae; Streptophyta; Magnoliopsida; Poales; Poaceae
Source: Rfam
ACUAUGAACCCUCUGUCCGAAAAUACUUGUCGUCAAAAUAAAUAAAAGGGGAUGUAUCUAGAUGUAUUUUAAUUCUAGAUACAUUUUUUUAUCCAUUUUAAUAACAAGUAUUUUCGGAUGGAGGGAGUACUAA